RNAcentral lists this ribosomal RNA (18 nucleotides) under Jacobaea ambigua. RNAcentral describes it as "partial 25S ribosomal RNA". The record is from RNAcentral. Lineage: Eukaryota; Viridiplantae; Streptophyta; Magnoliopsida; Asterales; Asteraceae.
GCGACCCAGGUCAGACGG